CAAUAGCGUAUAUUAAAGUUGUUGCAGUUAGAACGCUCGUAGUCGGAUUUCGGGGCGGGCCGACCGGUCUGCCGAUGGGUAUGCACUGGUCGGCGCGUCCUUCCUUCCGGAGACCGUUCCUACUCUUAACUGAGCGGGGGCGGGAGACGGAUCGUUUACUUUGAAAAAAUCAGAGUGUUUCAAGCAGGCAGCUCGCUCUUGCAUGGAUUAGCAUGGGAUAAUGAAAUAGGACUUUGGUGCUAUUUUGUUGGUUUCGAACACCGAAGUAAUGAUUAAAAGGGACAGUCAGGGGCACUCGUAUUCCGCCGAGAGAGGUGAAAUUCUCAGACCAGCGGAAGACGAACUACUGCGAAAGCAUUUGCCAGGGAUGUUUUCACUGA
RNAcentral lists this ribosomal RNA (380 nucleotides) under uncultured eukaryote. Its description in RNAcentral is "partial 18S ribosomal RNA". It matches the Rfam family "Eukaryotic small subunit ribosomal RNA", at positions 592 to 976 of the family's 1831-position model. The record is from RNAcentral.